Molecule: ribosomal RNA, 253 nt
Filed under: uncultured bacterium
Lineage: Bacteria
Description: partial 16S ribosomal RNA
Rfam family: Bacterial small subunit ribosomal RNA
Source: RNAcentral
UACGUAGGUGGCAAGCGUUGUCCGGAUUUACUGGGCGUAAAGAGCGCGCAGGCGGUCGUUCAAGUCGCGUGUGAAAGCCCCCGGCUCAACUGGGGAGGGUCACGCGAUACUGAUCGACUCGAAGGCAGGAGAGGGAAGUGGAAUUCCCGGUGUAGUGGUGAAAUGCGUAGAUAUCAGGAGGAACACCGGUGGCGAAGGCGGUUCUCUGGGCCUGUACUGACGCUGAGGAGCGAAAGCGUGGGGAGCAAACAGG